This 429-nucleotide ribosomal RNA is filed under the name Pseudomonadota bacterium. Its description in RNAcentral is "Proteobacteria bacterium partial 16S ribosomal RNA". It matches the Rfam family "Bacterial small subunit ribosomal RNA", at positions 355 to 776 of the family's 1533-position model. The record is from RNAcentral. Lineage: Bacteria; Pseudomonadati; Pseudomonadota.
UGGGGAAUAUUGGACAAUGGGCGAAAGCCUGAUCCAGCCAUGCCGCGUGUGUGAAGAAGGUCUUCGGAUUGUAAAGCACCUUAAGUUGGGAGGAAGGGCAGUAAGCGAAUACCUUGCUGUUUUGACGUUACCGACAGAAUAAGCACUGGCUAACUCUGUGCCAGCAGCCGCGGUAAUACAGAGGGUGCAAGCGUUAAUCGGAAUUACUGGGCGUAAAGCGUGCGUAGGCGGCUGAUUAAGUCGGAUGUGAAAUCACUGAGCUUAACUUAGGAAUUGCAUUCGAUACUGGUCAGCUAGAGUAUGGGAGAGGAUGGUAGAAUUCCAGGUGUAACAGUAAAAUGCGUAGAGAUCUGGAGGAAUACCGAUGGCGAAGGCAGCCAGCUGGCCUAAUACUGACGCUGAGGUACGAAAGCAGGGGGAGCAAACAGG